GGGCCUAUAGCUCAGCUGGUUAGAGCGCACGCCUGAUAAGCGUGAGGUCGGUGGGUCGAGUCCACUUAAGCCCA
Molecule: transfer RNA, 74 nt
Filed under: Megasphaera sp.
Lineage: Bacteria; Bacillati; Bacillota; Negativicutes; Veillonellales; Veillonellaceae
Description: tRNA-Ile
Rfam family: tRNA
About the family: Transfer RNA (tRNA) molecules are approximately 80 nucleotides in length. Their secondary structure includes four short double-helical elements and three loops (D, anti-codon, and T loops).
Source: RNAcentral